AUACGUAGGGGGCGAGCGUUGUCCGGAAUGAUUGGGCGUAAAGGGCGCGUAGGCGGCGCGGUAAGUCUGGAGUGAAAGUCCUGCUUUCAAGGUGGGAAUUGCUUUGGAUACUGCCGCGCUUGAGUGCAGGAGAGGUUAUCGGAAUUCCCGGUGUAGCGGUGAAAUGCGUAGAGAUCGGGAGGAACACCAGUGGCGAAGGCGGGUAACUGGACUGCAACUGACGCUGAGGCGCGAAAGUGUGGGGAGCAAACAGGAUUAGAUACCUUGGUAGUCCACACUGUAAACGAUGAAUGCUAGGUGUAAGAGGUAUCGACCCCUUUUGUGCCGGAGUCAACACAAUAAGCAUUCCGCCUGGGGAGUACGGCCGCAAGGUUGAAACUCAAAUGAAUUGGCGGGG
RNAcentral lists this ribosomal RNA (397 nucleotides) under uncultured bacterium. RNAcentral describes it as "partial 16S ribosomal RNA". It matches the Rfam family "Bacterial small subunit ribosomal RNA", at positions 523 to 918 of the family's 1533-position model. The record is from RNAcentral.